CCUUUCUUUGCCUAUUAUAAGGGAACAAGAGAAACAACGUGUAUAUGGUGAAGUGGUGAUGAACAAAAACAUCUUCACCCAACCCGUAGAGCAUCAUCGUUUGGAGGUGAAGUCUGCACCAAGUCAACCAACUGAGACAGAUGUGACGGUCCCACCACUACCAAAGCAUACCAAACCUUCCCAUUACCAAACCUUCCACACAAUCCAGACAACCAAUAUGGUAAUGAUAAUGUUGAGAUUCAAGAGAACAUCCCUCCACCAGUCAACAUGUUCAAAUCUACCAGUGUUCCAGUCAAAGAAGAAUCUUCUUGGUCACCAGCAAAGAAACAAAAACAGCAAUGACUAAACUUUUAGGAGACGUUUUCAUUACAAACCUUGAAGGAGGACAUAAGUGCAAUUAGAACAGAUUGAAGAUGAAGUACAAGUGUAUAAGCAGAGUCAUUCUGUUACUGUGGGUUCUAAUCUGCUCUUGUGGUGGAAGGAGAAUUGCUACCGUUUCCAACAUCUGUCAGAAUGUGUCAAGUGUCUUUUGGUCAUACCAGGUACAACAGUACCCAGCGAGCAGGUUUUCGCAACUGCAGGUGACUUGUCACCAGUUCACGAUUUUGCCUCAAACCAGAGGACGUGGAUAUGCUCGUAUUCCUGAAAACAAAAUUAGAAAAUGUGAGAAAGUGAAAUUUGUGUGUAGUAAUAGUAUGACAUUUGGCUACAAACACGUUGAACAGUUGAAUGUAGACAUUUCAACAAACGCUUAAUAAACAUCCUUAUAAGUUACAAAUUUUAAAACAUUGAACUCUCUUAUUAGAGGAAUUACAGGUCUGCAGUAAAUGCAGUUGGAAACUUAUCAGAUGAUUGUCUGAUGUUAUUCAGAUGUUCUUGUAAGUUUUUAGACUUUUAGUCUCAUUUAGAUACGGACUGAAAAAGUUACGUCUGUGUUCUGACUCAUCUUUGACCAUAUUAUUUUUUUAAUUCGAUUUCCAGCAGUUGAUGUUUACAUUCAUUAACAAUGAUUAAGACUGUGUCAGUCAUCUAGUCAGUACCUAGUCUUUCAGGGUAAUACAGUUUGUAGAGAGUGAUGCACCAUGUAAAUCUAUGUUGACUAUGGACAGACUUGUAUCAAGAGGACUGAUAAUGAUAAUUAUGCUGAAGUUAAUAUUCUAUUUCCAGCUUGUGAUGUAGGUGUUUGUCACUCCUGGAGUUUUGAAUAAUCAAGAUUAUAUAGUGAUCUAGAUCAUCUACUCACUGUAUAUGAUCUGCCAGAUGGUCCGGGAAAGCAAUGCAACCUUAUGAUUUAUGAAUUUAAAAGUUUGUAUGUUUCAGCUUGUUUGACAAACAAUUAUGCAGUUUCCCACUCUUGUAUUGAGUUGAUGUUAUCAUAUUGUGGACAUUCAUUCAUUUGCUCAUUACGAUUGUUCCAGUGAUCUUGUCAAUUAGGGCAUACAGUUUUAAAGCGACAAAUUUAACUCAAAGUGACAUGGGUGAAUGAUAGAGUAACUUGUUUGUUUAUUACAACAGUGUUAUUGUUAUACUUAAAUACCUUGAAAUAAAUCAUUUUAAAUCUUAA
Long non-coding RNA from Haliotis rubra (blacklip abalone), 1564 nucleotides. RefSeq lists it as uncharacterized. The transcript has 2 exons. Lineage: Eukaryota; Metazoa; Mollusca; Gastropoda; Lepetellida; Haliotidae. The record is from RefSeq and is a predicted model, not a curated record.